GAUGAAGAACGUAGCGAAAUGCGAUAAGUAAUGUGAAUUGCAGAAUUCAGUGAAUCAUCGAAUCUUUGAACGCACAUUGCGCCCGCCAGUAUUCUGGCGGGCAUGCCUGUUCGAGCGUCAUUACAACCCUCAGGCCCCCGGGCCUGGCGUUGGGGAUCGGCAGAAGCCCCCUGUGGGCACACGCCGUCCCUCAAAUACAGUGGCGGUCCCGCCGCAGCUUCCAUUGCGUAGUAGCUAACACCUCGCAACUGGAGAGCGGCGCGGCCAUGCCGUAAAACACCCAACUUCUGAAUGUUGACCUCGAAUCAGGGAGGAAUACCCGCUGAACUUAAGCAUAUCAAUAAGCGGAGGA
This 352-nucleotide unclassified non-coding RNA is filed under the name soil metagenome. RNAcentral describes it as "partial contains 5.8S ribosomal RNA, internal transcribed spacer 2, and large subunit ribosomal RNA". The stretch from base 1 to 120 matches the Rfam family "5.8S ribosomal RNA", at positions 35 to 154 of the family's 154-position model. The record is from RNAcentral.